GUCCACGCCGUAACGAUGGGUGCUAGGUGUGGGCAGUGUCGACUCUGUCUGUGCCGAAGCUAACGCAUUAAGCACCCGCCUGGGAGUACGGCCGCAAGGCUAAACUCAAAGGAAUUGACGGGGCCCGCACAAGCAGCGGAGCAUGUGGUUUAAUUCGAUGCAACGCGAAGAACCUUACCAGGGCUUGACAUGCACGGGAAUGUCGUAGAGAUACGGCAGCCCUUCGGGGCUCGUGUGCAGGUGGUGCAUGGCUGUCGU
RNAcentral lists this ribosomal RNA (258 nucleotides) under uncultured bacterium. RNAcentral describes it as "partial 16S ribosomal RNA". It matches the Rfam family "Bacterial small subunit ribosomal RNA", at positions 793 to 1055 of the family's 1533-position model. The record is from RNAcentral.